UAGAAACCUGAGUCCCUAACUCUGAUUUUUUUCACUAUGAUCGUUUUUGAUGGACCCGAUCACAAAACUUGACUCGUUUAGCAUCUAAGACUGUUCUAAUACUUUGUAGUAAGAAAAAUUCAACUUGUUUUUUUUUUGUCCAAAAAUGGUAAUUUAUGUGAUGGAGAGUGUUGAACUUGUUAAAAGAUUUAUAGUAUCAUAUAGUUGCGUUUUAUAGGUUCAACAAGAUGGAUAGUGUAAAUCAUUUUGUUAAUUUGUACUUUAAAAGAUUUUUUCAUCAAAUAUGUUUAUAAUCGAUCAACGAAUGGCAUACAAAAUGUUCACUGUUUUAUGUGGUAUAUAUAUAUAUAUAUAUAUAUAUAUAUAUAUAUAUAUAUAUGAUUUAAAUUUUCGUACCUAUAUUGAUAUGUUUUUCUUCUUCUUCGUGGACAUCGGACAACUUCUGCAGAGAAUCAUACCAAAAUUCUAGUGAUCAUCGGAUAACUUUUACGGAUUUUCAAGGGAUUCUCUGAGACUUGAAAGCUAUGGAAAAUCAAGACUCAUCCCAAAAGGAGUGAAUUUUCAGUUACUGAGAUUGAGUUGAUAGAGGAAUUAAUUCUUAGGCCUUCUGUCAAUCUCGAGAACAUUGAACGCAACCCUGUUACUCAGAUAAGUUCUUCCUUUUGUUUCACUGUUAUAAUCUUGAGAAAGUAAGAGUUUCUUUCUAUAUAAAAAGAUGUUAAAGAAAAAAAAUACAUCUAU
This 741-nucleotide long non-coding RNA is filed under the name Arabidopsis lyrata. Its description in RNAcentral is "long non-coding RNA (ALYR_LNC002102)". The record is from RNAcentral. Lineage: Eukaryota; Viridiplantae; Streptophyta; Magnoliopsida; Brassicales; Brassicaceae.